UACGUAGGGGGCAAGCGUUGUCCGGAAUUAUUGGGCGUAAAGCGCGCGCAGGCGGUCUUCCAAGUCAGUGGUGAAAGCCUGGAGCUCAACUCCAGAACUGCCAUUGAAACUGUUAGACUUGAGUACGAGAGAGGUGAGUGGAAUUCCCAGUGUAGAGGUGAAAUUCGUAGAUAUUGGGAAGAACACCAGUGGCGAAGGCGGCUCACUGGCUCGUAACUGACACUCAGGCGCGACAGCGUGGGGAUCAAACAGG
RNAcentral lists this ribosomal RNA (253 nucleotides) under uncultured bacterium. Its description in RNAcentral is "partial 16S ribosomal RNA". It matches the Rfam family "Bacterial small subunit ribosomal RNA", at positions 524 to 776 of the family's 1533-position model. The record is from RNAcentral.